CUUCUGGACAGUACUGACGCUGAGAUGCGAAAGCGUGGGGAGCAAACAGGAUUAGAUACCCUGGUAGUCCACGCUGUAAACGAUGUCGAUUUGGAGUUUGUUGCCUAGAGUGAUGGGCUCCGAAGCUAACGCGAUAAAUCGACCGCUGGGGAGUACGGCCGCAAGGUUAAAACUCAAAUGAAUUGACGGGGGCCCGCACAAGCGGUGGAGCAUGUGGUUUAAUUCGAUGCAACGCGAAGAACCUUACCUGGUCUUGACAUCCAUAGAAUUCUGCAGAGAUGUGGGAGUGCCUUCGGGAACUAUGAGACAGGUGCUGCAUGGCUGUCGUCGGCUCGUGUUGUGGAAUGUUGGGUUAAGUCCCGCAACGAGCGCAACCCUUAUUCUUUGUUGCCAGCGAUUUGGUCGGGAACUCAAAGGAGACUGCCGUUGAUAAAGCGGAGGAAGGUGGGGACGACGUCAAGUCAUCAUGGCCCUUACGACCAGGGCUACACACGUGCUACAAUGGCGUAUACAAAGGGAAGCGAAGGUGCGAGCUGGAGCGGAUCUCAUAAAGUACGUCUAAGUUCGGAUUGGAGUCUGCAACUCGACUCCAUGAAGUCGGAAUCGCUAGUAAUCGUAGAUCAGAAUGCUACGGUGAAUACGUUCCCGGGCCUUGUACACACCGCCCGUCACACCAUGGGAGUGGGUUGCACCAGAAGUAGAUAGCUUAACCGCGAGGGGGGCGUUUACCACGGUGUGAUUCAUGACUGGGGUGAAGUCGUAACAAGGUAACCA
RNAcentral lists this ribosomal RNA (774 nucleotides) under uncultured Enterobacteriaceae bacterium. Its description in RNAcentral is "bacterial SSU rRNA". It matches the Rfam family "Bacterial small subunit ribosomal RNA", at positions 726 to 1502 of the family's 1533-position model. The record is from RNAcentral. Lineage: Bacteria; Pseudomonadati; Pseudomonadota; Gammaproteobacteria; Enterobacterales; Enterobacteriaceae.